Molecule: transfer RNA, 65 nt
Filed under: Lytta caraganae
Lineage: Eukaryota; Metazoa; Arthropoda; Insecta; Coleoptera; Meloidae
Description: tRNA-Pro
Source: RNAcentral
CAGGAGAUAGUUUAUUUAAAAUAUUAAUUUUGGAGAUUAAAGUUAAGGAGUUUCUUUUUUCCUGA